GACGAACGCUGGCGGCGUGCUUAACACAUGCAAGUCGAACGAUGAAGCCGGAGCUUGCUCUGGUGAAUUAGUGGCGAACGGGUGAGUAACACGUGAGUAACCUGCCCUUGACUCUGGGAUAACUGCGGGAAACUGUAGCUAAUACCGGAUACGACCCUCGGAGGCAUCUCCUGGGGGUGGAAAGAAUUUCGGUCAAGGAUGGACUCGCGGCCUAUCAGCUAGUUGGUGAGGUAAAGGCUCACCAAGGCGACGACGGGUAGCCGGCCUGAGAGGGUGACCGGUCACACUGGGACUGAGACACGGCCCAGACUCCUACGGGAGGCAGCAGUGGGGAAUAUUGCGCAAUGGGCGAAAGCCUGACGCAGCGACGCCGCGUGAGGGAUGAAGGUCUUCGGAUCGUAAACCUCUUUCAGUAGGGACGAAGCGAAAGUGACGGUACCUAAAGAAGAAGCACCGGCUAACUACGUGCCAGCAGCCGCAGUAA
This 484-nucleotide ribosomal RNA is filed under the name uncultured bacterium. Its description in RNAcentral is "partial 16S ribosomal RNA". It matches the Rfam family "Bacterial small subunit ribosomal RNA", at positions 28 to 523 of the family's 1533-position model. The record is from RNAcentral.